GUUUAUUAGACAUGGGCACAAACCAAAAACAAAACUGAUACAGAGAAGAUUAGCAUGGCCCCUGCACAAGGAUGACACCAAAAAAACCCCAAACCUGAACCAGGAGGUU
Small nuclear RNA from Eublepharis macularius, 109 nucleotides. Lineage: Eukaryota; Metazoa; Chordata; Lepidosauria; Squamata; Eublepharidae. The record is from RefSeq and is a predicted model, not a curated record.